This is a long non-coding RNA of Strigops habroptila (Kakapo), 686 nucleotides long. RefSeq lists it as uncharacterized. Lineage: Eukaryota; Metazoa; Chordata; Aves; Psittaciformes; Psittacidae. The record is from RefSeq and is a predicted model, not a curated record. The transcript has 4 exons.
GACCAAAGGAGCUACCAUCUUAUUCAAUUAGACUCAGCCUGUCUCAACUGCUACACCAGGGAUGUAAAGUGGCUGCCACUUGGACUGGUUGUGUUGGGGCUGAGCAGAUCAAAAGAGGAUUGAUUUAGGUACAAGUGGCCCAGUGGGAACAAAGACAUGAGGUGCACCAACUCUUCCAGGCAAUAUCAGAGUGAACAGAAUUAAUAUGGGCAAUGAAACAUGAUCUUUCACUUGUUUCAUUGAUACAACAGAAAGAAAAAGGAGACAGAAAUCUUGACUUGAGCCAUUUCAGUCAGAAUGUUCAUAUCAUACUGCCAGACGUCUUGCCACUAGGAUUAGAUGUCAACCCCCUCAGCAAACUCUGAUCUAACUAUCUGCUGACAACCUGAGCAACAUGAAAGCCUCUUUCAUGGAAGACGUCUAAAACCCAAACAGACUUGAUGAUGAGUUUGUAACUGGUGUAGCAGGGAGACACGCACAGAAGAAACACUUGAGUAUACCUGCAAUUUCAAAAGAGAACAUGGCUUAUAGUGCUACUUAAGAAAACUGCCCAGUGAGAUCAUUGCAAGGCUGGGCAUAAGGAUAUUUUAUGUGGAGGUUAGACAAAACGCUUCAUGCACCUCAUAGCUGAGGACACCUAGAACAGAGCUCCGGAAGUCAAACCCCUCCCCACUGUUGUAAAUUGC